Long non-coding RNA from Choloepus didactylus (southern two-toed sloth), 429 nucleotides. RefSeq lists it as uncharacterized. The record is from RefSeq and is a predicted model, not a curated record. NCBI's taxonomy places the organism in Eukaryota, Metazoa, Chordata, Mammalia, Pilosa, Megalonychidae. The transcript has 2 exons.
GGUUGCUAUGGCAGCGGGUUGGCGGCGCGGCGCGCGGGCUGGCUGGGAGGGUGCGGGCGGCCUCGGCGGCUGGCGGAGCCCGGGACCUCGAUGGCCGUGCCCGCCGCUCUGAGGGGCUGCGGGGCAGCCUCGCCGCUCUGUCCCUGGGCCCCGGGGAGCCGGCCUCGGAGACGGUUCCAUCGACUUCCAGCUCCUGGCUGCGGCCUGUGGCUUCUCUUCCUGUGUCUAGUUCCUUUUGCUUCUGAGGACUUCAGCCAUGUGGGAUGAAGGCCCCUCUUUCACUCUGGGCACACCUUACCUGAAAACAUCUUCAAAGAUCCUGUUUACAAGUGGGUUCACACCACAGAAACUGCCUUCUGUGGAGGACAUGAUUCAAUCCCCAGUAACAUCUUGUCAAAAAUGAAUUGGCUAUAAAUGGUUAGGGUUUCA